RNAcentral lists this ribosomal RNA (519 nucleotides) under uncultured bacterium. Its description in RNAcentral is "bacterial SSU rRNA". It matches the Rfam family "Bacterial small subunit ribosomal RNA", at positions 11 to 533 of the family's 1533-position model. The record is from RNAcentral.
GUUUGAUCCUGGCUCAGGAUGAACGCUAGCGGAAGGCUUAAUACAUGCAAGUCGAGCGGUAGUCCCCUUCGGGGGAUGAGAGCGGCGCACGGGUGAGUAACGCGUACAUGACCUGCCUGUCAGAAGGGGAUAGCCCUGGGAAACUGGGAUUAAUACCCUAUGGUAUUGAUAUUAUGAAUGAUAUCAAUUAAAGUUGAGGCGCUGACAGAUGGAUGUGCGUCUGAUUAGCUAGUUGGUAGGGUAACGGCCUACCAAGGCGACGAUCAGUAGGGGGCGUGAGAGCGUGGUCCCCCACACGGGUACUGAGACACGGACCCGACUCCUACGGGAGGCAGCAGUAAGGAUAUUGGUCAAUGCCCGCAAGGGUGAACCAGCCAUUCCGCGUGGAGGAUGAAGGCCCUAUGGGUUGUAAACUUCUUUUAGAUGGGAAGAAAAUGCUAGAUGUAUCUGGUACUGACGGUACCAGUCAGAAUAAGCACCGGCUAACUCCGUGCCAGCAGCCGCGGUAAUACGGAGGGU